ACGCUGGCGGCGUGCUUAACACAUGCAAGUCGAACGGAAAGGCCCUGCUUUUGUGGGGUGCUCGAGUGGCGAACGGGUGAGUAACACGUGAGUAACCUGCCCUUGACUUUGGGAUAACUUCAGGAAACUGGGGCUAAUACCGGAUAGGAGCUCCUGCUGCAUGGUGGGGGUUGGAAAGUUUCGGCGGUUGGGGGUGGACUCGCGGCUUAUCAGCUUGUUGGUGGGGUAGUGGCUUACCAAGGCUUUGACGGGUAGCCGGCCUGAGAGGGUGACCGGCCACAUUGGGACUGAGAUACGGCCCAGACUCCUACGGGAGGCAGCAGUGGGGAAUAUUGCACAAUGGGCGGAAGCCUGAUGCAGCAACGCCGCGUGCGGGAUGACGGCCUUCGGGUUGUAAACCGCUUUCGCCUGUGACGAAGCGUGAGUGACGGUAAUGGGUAAAGAAGCACCGGCUAACUACGUGCCAGCAGCCGCGGUGAUACGUAGGGUGCGAGCGUUGUCCGGAUUUAUUGGGCGUAAAGGGCUCGUAGGUGGUUGAUCGCGUCGGAAGUGUAAUCUUGGGGCUUAACCCUGAGCGUGCUUUCGAUACGGGUUGACUUGAGGAAGGUAGGGGAGAAUGGAAUUCCUGGUGGAGCGGUGGAAUGCGCAGAUAUCAGGAGGAACACCAGUGGCGAAGGCGGUUCUCUGGGCCUUUCCUGACGCUGAGGAGCGAAAGCGUGGGGAGCGAACAGGCUUAGAUACCCUGGUAGUCCACGCUGUAAACGGUGGGUACUAGGUGUGGGGUCCAUUCCACGGGUUCCGUGCCGUAGCUAACGCUUUAAGUACCCCGCCUGGGGAGUACGGCCGCAAGGCUAAAACUCAAAGGAAUUGACGGGGCCCCGCACAAGCGGCGGAGCAUGCGGAUUAAUUCGAUGCAACGCGUAGAACCUUACCUGGGUUUGACAUGGAUCGGGAGUGCUCAGAGAUGGGUGUGCCUCCUUUGGGGUCGGUUCACAGGUGGUGCAUGGCUGUCGUCAGCUCGUGUCGUGAGAUGUUGGGUUAAGUCCCGCAACGAGCGCAACCCUUGUUCACUGUUGCCAGCACGUUAUGGUGGGGACUCAGUGGAGACCGCCGGGGUCAACUCGGAGGAAGGUGGGGAUGACGUCAAGUCAUCAUGCCCCUUAUGUCCAGGGCUUCACGCAUGCUACAAUGGCUGGUACAGAGAGUGGCGAGCCUGUGAGGGUGAGCGAAUCUCGGAAAGCCGGUCUCAGUUCGGAUUGGGGUCUGCAACUCGACCUCAUGAAGUCGGAGUCGCUAGUAAUCGCAGAUCAGCAACGCUGCGGUGAAUACGUUCCCGGGGCUUGUACACACCGCCCGUCAAGUCAUGAAAGUUGGUAACACCCGAAGCCGGUGGCCUAACCGUUGUGGGGGAGCCGUCGAAGGUGGGACUGGUGAUUAGG
This 1439-nucleotide ribosomal RNA is filed under the name uncultured organism. RNAcentral's name for it is "16S ribosomal RNA". It matches the Rfam family "Bacterial small subunit ribosomal RNA". The record is from RNAcentral.